AGCAGCGUUCCGCCGGCUGGCCGGGCGGUGGGUGGCUUCUGCGGGGCCGAGAGGCGGUGCGGUGGUCUCAUCUCCAGCGCCGGUGCUGUGCGCGCCCUUCUCCGAUCCAGGCCGGGACUGGAGAGCUCAUCUUGUCGUUGGCGGGGAAAAACGUAGCAGCACCCGCGAUUCGCUGCCAGAGCGAUGCUCCGUGGAAGGGACUCAGCCAUGCCGCUUGCUCUCCCUCCAGGGGAAGCACAGGGCACGUUCUCCUCCCUCUGCUUUUCCACCUGUCUCCUGGCAAGCAGAGAAGAAAGGCUGGCUGAGUCCCAUGUACCUCCAAAAUUAAGUACAAGCCUCUGUAAAGCAAGCGUGUAUGUGUACACUCGUUCACAUUCACGCAGUAGUAGUAAGACCUCUUACAAGGCACUCAGACAACAGGAAUAAGAAUCUUUCUGGACUCUCAUCUGUGUUCCCUCAACUCUGACUGGCUUGAAGAAAGGUGUAUAUUUGAAUGUUUUCUUUGGAAGCAUUUUCAGCAUUCAGUCAAGAGUCCAAAACUACUCACAGACUGAAAUAUGAGAUACUGAAUGUAGGAAACCCAAGAUGGCACACUGCUUCUUCGUAUUUAUUUACUUAGCAUUUAGCAUCGUAUCAGUCACCCUUUGCCAAAACCACCAAUGGAAUCAGUUUACUUUAUUGUAUUGAAGUUGCUGGACUUGUCUUUGAAUGUUUAUUCAGCAAAUUGUAUUGCCUCUUCUCAGAGAAAGCAGGAUUCCCCUGCACCUAAGUGCUUGCAAUGAUCAAGUGUUUCCCUGCGUCUGCUUCUAUCUUUUUUUCUAUUGGGAUUUGCUCAACAUCACGAUGCUGUAUAUUUUGCACUGUACCUUUCAGCCUUCAUUUUCCAUUCUUUGUCACCAAACAGUUCUACUGAGAUAAACAAGUGAUGAAAUAGUCUUAAAUACCUAUGGAGAGGAAGCUCUUUAAAAACUCAUUUCUCUGAAGGGUGCAUGGUCUCAGGUCAUUAAGGAAGUGCUAACAGUAGACAAAUUUACCCUGCAGAGCUUGCUUUAGCCUGGGAUCUGGGUAUUAAAAUAUUCUGUACUCAUAUUUUCCACUUGGUUCUUCAUCAGGUAAUGAUUACACCUUGCAACAGUUGAGACUGCAUCAGGAUUUACAUUGAGGUCCCCUGUCUCCAAAAGAUGCCCAUGCACAGUACAUAAUCAAGCUAAAAAUCUACAUUCUGAAGACAGAAUUGCUAUAGUUGAUGUUAUUUUGUCUGAAAUCCACAUCAUAUCCAUCUCCAUGCUCUUAGUACAUUACUUGAACACUGUCAAAGAUGUUGCACUGAAAUGUUCCCUAGGCAGGAACAUUUGCGGAGAAGUAUUUGCAGUAACCAUCUCUGGGGAUGAUUAGGAGCUUGCUUUACUUGUUGUUUUGUUACUACGGGGAAAAACAAACAAACAAAAAAACAAAAACCAAAAAACCAAAAAAAAACCAAAACCAAAAAAAAACUAACAAACAAACAAACAAACAAACAAAAAACAACACCACAGUAGGCAAAGUUUGCAGUUUUAUCACUGUUAGGAUUCAGUGCAUGUAAAGCAAUGAAUGGGCAAUGAUUCAGUGGUUCUCAAAAUAUUUUAGAAGUCAUGCAAACAGUGACAACUCGUUUUUAAAGCUGACACUUUCCUCCCAAGACCCAGUAACACUGACAGAAGCAUGCCCAGAAAUGGUGAUUUUCACCUUUCUCUUCUGAAUUGGUUCUGAAAUGAGCUAGCAACAAGAAGGUGGCAUUACUCCUCCACAUCAUGCAGCACAAAUCUUUAGUAAACAUUAGAAAACCAAACCCAGGGUUCAAGCACCACCAAUAAACCAUUCCAGUGAAGAAGAAUGAAAAGUCUUUAUAAUUUGUAAGUGAGUUUUCUUUCCAUUUUCCUGAAAGAGAAAAAAAUUCCAACCAGAAUCCCUUGGCUUAUUUGAUCAACUGUAUAUCUGAAGCAUUUAUUUAUUAAAAUUGUUUGAACUGCCAGAGAAGAUGUCAUCUUUUUCUUUGUAUACGUAGCAUCAUAUCUUAUGACAUUCACUGGCAGCUCCUAUAUAAACCUAACACCUACCAGACAGAACCUUGUAAUUGGUCUGUGAAGCUGAAGCUUAUGCAUGAAAUGGCUAGAGGCUUCAUUACUUCCAGACCAAAAGGGCAACAGGGACUAUUAAGGAAGUAUACUGCAGAACAGAGUAAAAAAUAAUACCUUAAGAUAACAACAGGAGGUCAGCACUGAAAACCAGCUGCACAAGGUAAACAUUUUAUAAGAGUGAGAAAAAAAAAUCUGCUUUAUAUUGAUAUCCAUCAAGGUGGUGCAUACAAAUGCUUCCAGUACCAAACCAAGCAAAAUAAUUCAAUCUCCAAGCAAGGUUCAGAAAGAGGCAGCAAUCCUUCUCUCUGAAUUGCUAAACAGCAAAUUGUCCAGCUUCCUCCUCAUUUUCAACAUAGAUUCCAUGUUCUUGUACCCCAAAAUUUGUAUUCAUUCAAAAGCUAGCAGACAAACAUUUCCUCUAGCAGAUCUGUCAGCAUUCUAACUUGCUUCCUGUCAAUUAUGUCAUAUUCUUCCCUUUUUAGAUGGAAUAUUUUUCACAGGUGUUGGUGAACAGUUAAUGAAACUUCAAAGAGCCCUGGUAGACAGGUCAGUUCACUGACUGCUUCAUAUCUAGGUCCACUGCAUGCUCUCUUAUGCUUGUACACUUUUCUUUCCUGAUCAGCAAGACUUUCAGCUCCUCUCUAAAAAGUUACCCUCCAUCUCCUCUAGAAGGAGCCAUCUGUGUUGUAGUGGAUCAGUCUGCCUAUAGAGUUUGCCUUGAAAGAAGCAAUUUCUGAAGGGAUGACCACGAUUUUAAUUAUGUCAAUCCUCCUUGAUUGCAUCACUUAGUCUUCAGAUUAUAGAAAGGAAGCAAUAGCAUUCAUAUGACAAAAUCUUGUGGUUCUAUUGAGUUUACUACAGAGUAGAAGAUGGAGGAAGGAUUUAAAAGGAGAGAAGUUCCUAUUAUUACAGGCUGUGAAACAUACCUAUAGAAAUGCUUGUUCUAUGUUAUCUUCUUCUGUAUAUGGUUUUAAGUAAAUUUUGAAUACUCUAGAGGGUAGUGAAGCAAUAGUAAAAAUAUGAUUUUGAUAUGAUACUAAUACUGAAAGGCCUACAUGAGACAAGCUAGCUGUUUCGUAAGACAGACCUAUACUGUCCUGACUCACAGUACUGCUAAACACUCACAUUCACACCUAAAAUUGUAAUUUGGACUGUAUUUACAUGGCUCAGCAUAAAAAUGCUGUGACAGAAACACUGUGCAGCUGCCACCUAGCAUCUGGUUGGAUAACAGCCAUUUCUUGAAGUGGCAAGUUCUCUAUUCUUGUAUUUGCCCCCUCCUACCUGAAAGUGGCAGAAUGGUCCUUCUCCAAAAGACAACAUGUAUAGUCAUUCAAAGUACAUUUCCCUGACCAGUGCACCAUUAUUAGUUUAUGUGGAAAUCAGAGAAUUUUGACUGAAGUCCGUGUAUUUGUGGUUUGUACUACCCUUCUAACAUAUUUCAGCGUGUGAAACAGAAGAGUUAGGGUUUUGCUUGUUUUGGGUGAGAAAUUUUGUAUGGUGGAAAGGAGUUGCUGUUGUUUUAAAUGAUGUUGGUUUGGUUGAAGCCGAUCUGUAAAAAAAACAAAAACUGGAUAACAUAUACUUACCGGAUGCCAGUGAAACUGCAUUGGUUUGAACAAAUACUGUAACUACUAAUUUAGUUAAAUCUAUCCAACUGUGAAAAUAUAUUGGCGUGAAUAAAAAUAUAUAGAUGUGAAUCGC
This is a long non-coding RNA of Gallus gallus (chicken), 3818 nucleotides long. The record is from Ensembl. NCBI's taxonomy places the organism in Eukaryota, Metazoa, Chordata, Aves, Galliformes, Phasianidae.